UUGAAUUGUUUUGUUUAAUCCAUUGCAGGUAAUGCAUGUCAAUACUUCAGUUGUUAAUGGCAUAAAAGGUGCAAGUAAGGCAAUGGAAGCCAUGAACAAGUAAAUGGCACUUGCAAAGCAAAUGAAGGUGAUUCAAGAAUUUUAGAAGCAAGCAACACAAAUGGAUAUGACAAGUGAGAUGAUGUUAGAAUCGCUUGACAAUGUCUUAGAUGAUGAUGAGGCCGAAGAGGAAACUGAGAAACUGACUAACCAGGUAAACUUCACUUUUAUUUAAUACUGGAAUCUGCUCUAUGGAGCUAACCAUGUCAUGAGUGUUUAGAAGUAGAGGAUGGGAUUAGUAGUUUUAAUCAGUACACUACACGCAUUAACAAUUUAUUCAUUGUUCUCUUUAGAUAUUCUAUCAGUAAUUUCAUGCUUUGCUAGCCCCAAAUAUCUGGGACAAGCUACAAUGAUAAUCUUUAACUUAUGGAAUAUUUUAGCGGAUGGAGCUACUGCUAAUAGGUUUCCAUGGUGUGUUAUGGGGAUCUUCAAUGCCAUACUAUAUGAGAAGCAAAAGGUCCAUCAAUCAAUCUGUUUCUUGUUACUGGAUUUCAGGAAAUCAUUUCUGAUUGUGACUUCCUGAAUAUUGGAGAUUCAAAGCACCCAUUCACAUGGAAUAACAAUCGCAAGCAAACCAGUUUUGUUGCAGGAUGGUUGGAUUAAACUCUUGUAGAUUUAGAAUGGGUAAGAAAAAGCAUUGUUUUCUUCACCAUCUGGACAAAGUUGCAUAUGAUCAUUCUCUAUUUUUGCUCAAUGGCAGCAGAUCCUUCAACUGGAAAAGAUCUCCAUUUAAAUUUGAAAAAACAAUGUGGAUUUAUCCAUCCAUCUUUCUUAGAUGUGGUUAUGGAUUAUGCUAACUCAUUUUGGAUAUAAUUGCAUCAUUAUAGACAACACAUAGUUUAGGACCCUAUACAAGAAAACUCAUUGUGCAUACUUGUUUUUUGUAAUGUUUUCAAGAGUGUAUAAUCAUUGAA
Molecule: long non-coding RNA, 1013 nt
Organism: Magnolia sinica
Lineage: Eukaryota; Viridiplantae; Streptophyta; Magnoliopsida; Magnoliales; Magnoliaceae
Exons: 3
Source: RefSeq, a predicted model, not a curated record